AAGCAGGAUACAAGAAGCAGAGGAGAUAAUUAGAAAUUUGAAGUUAGAAGAUGAAAGAUUAGAUGCGGAGAAAGAGAAACUUUCAGUCGAGAAUGGAGAGCUCAAGCAAGACCUAGAUGCUUAUGGGAAUACAGAAGCAGAAUUGAAUCAGAAAUUAGAGGAGAUGAUCAAAGCGAAGGACAACUUGACUCUAGAAGUCACAGACCUAAAGAGUAAGUUGACAGCUACCACUGAAGAAAAGGAAGCUUUCAAUUCGGAACAUCAGACAGCUUUAAGCAGGAUACAAGAAGCAGAGGAGAUCAUUAGAAAUUUGAAGUUAGAAGCUGAAAGAUUAGAUGUGGAGAGAGAGAAAUUUUCGAUUGAGAAUACAGAACUCAAGCAAGACCUAGAUGCUUAUGGCAAUAAAGAAAAAGAAUUGAAUCAGAGAUUGGAGGAGAUUAGCAAAGAGAAGGACAACUUGAAUCUAGAAGUUGCAGACCUGAAGAGUAAGUUGACAGCUAUGACUGAAGAGAAGGAAGCUUUCAAUUUGGAACAUCAGACUGCUUUAAGCAGGAUACAAGAAGCAGAGGAGAUAAUUAGAAAUUUGAAGUUAGAAGCUGAAAGAUUAGAUGCGGAGAAAGAGAAACUUUCAGUCGAGAAUGGAGAGCUCAAGCAAGACCUAGAUGCUUAUGGGAAUACAGAAGCAGAACUGAAUCAGAGAUUGGAGGAGAUGAGCAAAGCGAAGGACAACUUGACUCUGGAAGUCACAGACCUAAAGAGUAAGUUGACAGCUAUCGCUGAAGAAAAGGAAGCUUUCAAUUCGGAACAUCAGACAACUUUAAGCAGGAUACAAGAAGCAGAGGAGAUCAUUAGAAAUUUGAAGUUAGAAGCUGAAAGAUUAGAUGUGGAGAGAGAGAAAUUCUCGAUUGAGAAUAGAGAACUCAAGCAAGACCUAGAUGCUUAUGGCAAUAAAGAAAAAGAAUUGAAUCAGAGAUUGGAGGAGAUUAGCAAAGAGAAGGACAACUUGAAUCUAGAAGUUGCAGACCUGAAGAUUAAGUUGACAGCUACGACUGAAGAAAAGGAAGCUUUCAAUUUGGAACAUCAGACCGCUUUAAGCAGGAUACAAGAAGCAGAGGAGAUAAUUAGAAAUUUGAAGUUAGAAGCUGAAAGAUUAGAUGCGGAGAAAGAGAAACUUUCAGUCGAGAAUGGAGAGCUCAAGCAAGACCUAGAUGCUUAUGGGAAUACAGAAGCAGAAUUGAAUCAGAAAUUAGAGGAGAUGAUCAAAGCGAAGGACAACUUGACUCUAGAAGUCACAGACCUAAAGAGUAAGUUGACAGCUACCACUGAAGAAAAGGAAGCUUUCAAUUCGGAACAUCAGACAGCUUUAAGCAGGAUACAAGAAGGAGAGGAGAUCAUUAGAAAUUUGAAGUUAGAAGCUGAAAGAUUAGAUGUGGAGAGAGAGAAAUUCUCGAUUGAGAAUAGAGAACUCAAGCAAGACCUAGAUGCUUCUGGGAACAAAGAAGAAGAAUUGAAUCAGAGAUUGGAGGAAAUGAGCAAAGAGAAGGACGACUUGAAUGUAGAAGUUGCAGACCUGAAGAGUAAGUUGACAGUUACCACGGAAGAAAAGGAAGCUUUAAAUUUGGAACAUCAGACAGCUUUAAGGAGGAUACAAGAAGCAGAGGAGGUCCUUAGAAAUUUGAAGUUAGAAGCCGAAAGAUUAAAUGCAGAGAAAGAGAAACUUUCAGUUGAGAAUGGAGAACUCAAGCAAGACCUUGGUGGUUCUGC
This 1764-nucleotide long non-coding RNA is filed under the name Ricinus communis (castor bean). Its description in RNAcentral is "long non-coding RNA (RCOM_LNC000048)". The record is from RNAcentral. Lineage: Eukaryota; Viridiplantae; Streptophyta; Magnoliopsida; Malpighiales; Euphorbiaceae.